RNAcentral lists this ribosomal RNA (422 nucleotides) under uncultured bacterium. RNAcentral describes it as "bacterial SSU rRNA". It matches the Rfam family "Bacterial small subunit ribosomal RNA", at positions 355 to 774 of the family's 1533-position model. The record is from RNAcentral.
UGAGGAAUAUUGGGCAAUGCCCGCAAGGGUGACCCAGCAACGCCGCGUGGAGGAUGAAUGUCGUAAGAUUGUAAACUCCUGUUAGAGGGGAAGAAUAGUACCGGUUGGACCGGUAUAUGACUGUACCCUCAGAGAAAGCCCCGGCUAACUACGUGCCAGCAGCCGCGGUAAUACGUAGGGGGCAAGCGUUGUCCGGAUUUACUGGGUGGAAAGGGCGCGCAGGCGGGAUAAAAAGUCAGUGGUGAAAUCCUACAGCUUAACUGUAGAACUGCCUUUGAUACUUUUAUUCUUGAGUUCGGGAGAGAGAGACGGAAUUCCAGGUGUAGUGGUGAAAUGCGUAGAUAUCUGGAAGAACACCAGUUGCGAAGGCGGUCUCUUGGUCCGACACUGACGCUGAGGCGCGAAAGCGUGGGGAGCAAACA